This 496-nucleotide ribosomal RNA is filed under the name uncultured bacterium. RNAcentral's name for it is "partial 16S ribosomal RNA". It matches the Rfam family "Bacterial small subunit ribosomal RNA", at positions 29 to 507 of the family's 1533-position model. The record is from RNAcentral.
AUGAACGCUGGCGGCGUGCCUAAUCCCUGCAAGUCGCGCGAACGGACGAGAAGCUUGCUUCUCUGAUGUUAGCGGCGGACGGGUGAGUAACACGUGGAUAACCUACCUAUAAGACUGGGAUAACUUCGGGAAACCGGAGCUAAUACCGGAUAAUAUUUUGAACCGCAUGGUUCAAAAGUGAAAGACGGUCUUGCUGUCACUUAUAGAUGGAUCCGCGCUGCAUUAGCUAGUUGGUAAGGUAACGGCUUACCAAGGCAACGAUGCAUAGCCGACCUGAGAGGGUGAUCGGCCACACUGGAGCUGAGACACGGUCCAGACUCCUACGGGAGGCAGCAGUAGGGAAUCUUCCGCAAUGGGCGAAAGCCUGACGGAGCAACGCCGCGUGAGUGAUGAAGGUCUUCGGAUCGUAAAACUCUGUUAUUAGGGAAGAACAUAUGUGUAAGUAACUGUGCACAUCUUGACGGUACCUAAUCAGAAAGCCACGGCUAACUACGUG